ACGAACGCUGGCGGCGCGCUUAACACAUGCAAGUCGAACGGAAAGGCCUGCUUUCCCUUGUGGAUUGCGGGUACUCGAGUGGCGAACGGGUGAGUAACACGUGAGUGAUCUGCCCCCAACUUGGGUAUAAGCCUGGGAAACUGGGUCUAAUUCCCGAUAGGACUGCAGGGUGGUGCCUGUGGUGGAAAACGAUUUUCUAGUGGUUGGGGAUGAGCUCGCGGCCUAUCAGCUUGUUGGUGGGGUAAUGGCCUACCAAGGCGGCGACGGGUAGCCGGCCUGAGAGGGUGGACGGCCACAUUGGGACUGAGAUACGGCCCAGACUCCUACGGGAGGCAGCAGUGGGGAAUACUGCACAAUGGGCGGAAGCCUGAUGCAGCGACGCCGCGUGGGGGAUGACGGCCUUCGGGUUGUAAACUCCUUUCGACCGCGAGGAAGCCACCUGGUUGGAAGGGUGGUGACGGUAGUGGUAGAAGAAGCACCGGCUAACUACGUG
RNAcentral lists this ribosomal RNA (493 nucleotides) under uncultured bacterium. RNAcentral's name for it is "partial 16S ribosomal RNA". It matches the Rfam family "Bacterial small subunit ribosomal RNA", at positions 29 to 507 of the family's 1533-position model. The record is from RNAcentral.